UUCUUUCUUCCUUCCCCACGCAGGUGCUUAAUACAUUGUUAUCCUCUUAUUGCUAUGAUGAUGAAUUCCGUCCAAGAAAUUAAUAAACCAUUGAGUGAGACGAAAAAAAUGUUAUCUUGGCUACGUAGUUCAUCACACACUGUCCCUGAUAAUACUUGCAUAAUUCAGUAAAGCAACAAAUAAGCCUGGAAGACCAGAGAACAUCCUAUUUAUGGAUCAUUGAAGCUCGCAUCAUCGAGAAUCGGUCCGUCAUGGCUCUCUCCUCCCCUCCCUCGCUCCCUCCCCACGGGACGCCGUCGGCUUGCGGUUCCCCCUCGUCCCCGGCGUCCAAGUCAGAUUCGCUCCCCUGCUCCCUUCUCCCCUCGUGCUCCUCUCCGGGCUAUCCGCCGGCGGCGGGGCCCGAACCCCUCCCACCUGCGUUCCCCCCUCCCUGUCCGGUGGCCCUGGCAGCGCCACGGGCCAACAAGUUCUGGGCCCUUGAUUCCGACGACUCUGGCUCCGAUUCUGAUCCUGAGACUCCCCCUCCUCCUCGCUCGGCAUCGAUGGUUGGGUUGCCUCCGUUAUUGGUGGCGGGCCGUCGGCGCAAGUUUGCUCCGGGGGGUCGGGGCCGGCUGUGUGCGCUUGAUGCGGGCCCGGAUGGAUGGCGUCGUGUUGGCCGUGGGCGCCGGAGCGCCGCUCCCUGGGCGGUGGAUCCUUCUUUGGUGAGCCCGGGGGUGGACGCUAUGGCCUCACCCGUCUCAUCCUCCUCGGUGGCGGUGCCCUCCGGUUCGUCGCCGUCCAGGUGCCUCCCUUCCACGUCGUCGGCGGCGCCGGCGCAAACCCUAGAUCUGGGAUCGGGUCUUGCGUUGGUGCCCCGGUCCGUGGGCCGGGUCCCUCUGGUCGGUGACGGGCCGUGUGGGCCUGUGUCGGCCCCUUCGCUGGAUUCCAUGGCUUAUUUCCCCCCUCGUGUCUGAGUCUGAUGGGCCUAGGCCAACCCAGUUGAGUCCGCCUCCCCCUUCGGCCCUUUCGACAGAGCCCGGCCUGGCUGGCUCCGGCUAUUUAUGGGUCCGAAAGGGGUCGGUUCUCCCUUUUCUAGGGUUUCCUGCCUCCGCUGCUGAUCUGCGACGGCGCCGUUUCCCUAUCCGCCGCUUUGUCAGAUCCAAGCCUCCCCCUCCCCUCCUCCUCCCCUUCUCAUUGGUGGUGGCGAUGGACCGCUCCCGUGGGUCCUCCAGCGACGCUGUCUCCGGCCUCAAGUGGGGGCGGGACGACUCUGGCGACGCCGCUACGGAUCUGGAGUUUGAGGCGUCGCUCCACGCCAAGCUACAGGCUUCGCGGUCGGAGGCGGGUGCCGCUUCGCCCCGUGCGUCUGGUUCCGGGCCGAUGGCUUCUCCGUCCUUGGCGCCCGCAGCUCCGGUGCAUGUGGUCGACCCUUGGGAACAGGCGGCGCGGGGGAGCCGGGCGGGAUCUUCGGGCCCCUCCUCGUCUCCUUCCUCGCUUGCUCCCAUGGGGGGGCCGCCGCGGGCGCCGGCGGCGGGCGGCGGCGGGUCGUCCCGCUUCGUUCCUCGUGGUGGCUCUGGGGCCCCGGCCCGGCGUCCGGUUGGCCCUGCGGCGGGACGUGGUGCUGGCGCGGGUGCCGUCGGUGGUUCUUCUGGAGAUGGCAUCCUCCCUCCGCCGCCUUCUCGUGGUGCGAACCGUAACUCCUCUCACUCCCAGGUUUCUAAUCCCAUCCUCACCUGCUUCGCGUGUCAUCGCCCUGGCCAUUUCCACUCUCGGUGCGAGAACCCUCCUUUCUGUCUCAUCUGUAGGGAGGAUGGACACCUAACGGUGGACUGUCAAAGUAGGAUCAAGCCCCCCUCCUUCGUCCAUUUUGGGAUUGGCCUCCCGGGUUGCUCUUUUUUUGCCAUGGACAAGGAAGUCCCCGCAGCUGCUCCCAUUCCCUCCCUGUCCAACGUGGGUGUCAUUACUGUCCAAGACAAGCGUAUCUCUUCACAAGCCCUCUUGGAUGAACUUCAUAUGUGGGAUGAAGGGGGUUGGGACUGGCAGAUCCGGCAGCUUUCUGAUUUCGAGUUUGCGGCCACUUUCCCCUCUAAAGAGAGUCUUCGCAUGAUGUCUUCCUGUACCAGUUUCACUCUCCCUGUGAAUCAACUUGUUGUAUCGGUCAAAGCGGCUUCCAACGGAUCCAAGACCAUAGCUCCUCUGUCUGAUGUCUGGGUGCUCGUUGAUGAUGUGCCUCCCAGCUUGCGCACCGCGUCCUUCUUGAUGGCUUUUGGGGUGCUUAUCGGGAAACCUAUUGAGGUCGAUCUUGCUUCGCUGUCGGUUCUGGGUCCUGCUCGCCUUCGUGUGUGGUGUGUUGAUCCGAUCUGCAUCCGUGGUUCCGUUGAUGUCUUCCCGGCGGUUGGUGGCUUUCGUCUUCGAGUUCGGGUGGAAGGUGCUCCUGGUGCGGUCGCUCCUCCUCCCCCCCUCCUCCCCCGGCCUCGGGUGACGAUGACAAGAGCCGGGAGGGUGNNNNNNNNNNNNNNNNNNNNNNNNNNNNNNNNNNNNNNNNNNNNNNNNNNNNNNNNNNNNNNNNNNNNNNNNNNNNNNNNNNNNNNNNNNNNNNNNNNNNNNNNNNNNNNNNNNNNNNNNNNNNNNNNNNNNNNNNNNNNNNNNNNNNNNNNNNNNNNNNNNNNNNNNNNNNNNNNNNNNNNNNNNNNNNNNNNNNNNNNNNNNNNNNNNNNNNNNNNNNNNNNNNNNNNNNNNNNNNNNNNNNNNNNNNNNNNNNNNNNNNNNNNNNNNNNNNNNNNNNNNNNNNNNNNNNNNNNNNNNNNNNNNNNNNNNNNNNNNNNNNNNNNNNNNNNNNNNNNNNNNNGGGGGGGGGGGGUCCUGAGGACUCGCUGAAUGGCACGGAUCCCCGAUUCACCCAGUCUGCGUGGGAUGGGCUUUCUCCUGCUGAGUAGGAGCUGAUGAAGGACUGUGCUCCGGCUCCGGCGGGUGGUGGGGUUCAGGGCUCGGUGCCUGGUACGGUGGCUGGUCCUGCGGCCGCGGCUGCUUCGAAGGGCACCCCCUUGUCGGGGGCGUGCUCCAACAUGCCCGUGCGCCCCACCUCCCCCUCGCUGUCCGGCAUUGAAGAUCUACCUCCAGUGGGACCUUCGGCGGCCAAGAAAAGGAAGAAGUCCUCGGUGAAGAAGUUUUCCGCGAAGAGCCGGGCAUUGGGGGACUCCAGGCAGUCGGCGGCUGGGCUCUGCCGCCGUCUGGAGGCGGACCUGGGGGCGGCUUCGGGCCCUUCUUCGGCGGCGACUUCCCCUGGUCGGCCCCCUCCGGUCCCUGUGCGCUCUCCUGCCUCGACCGCUCGCAAGAGUGGCCGCGUCUCCAACAGUGGCGAGCGCGUGGUGGAUCAGGCGGCUCGGCGUGCAGUGGCGCGUGAUCUUCCCCCCUCAGGUUUGGAUUCACCCUCAUCUCCUUCCCCCCCCUUUGGCUCAGUCUCCUGUUAGGCUUGUUUUACCCUCCCAUUCCGAUGAACAUCUCCUUUCGAUAUUAGCUGAUGUUGGGAUAUGUCUAGACGCUAGGGUGGGUUCUCCCUCCUCUCUGUUGCAGUUGAUUCGUGCUAAUGAACGUGCUCAGGCUGAUAUCGCCAAGGCCAGGGAGGCCGGGACUGGGAUGGAUGCCCCUCUGGUUGUGGCCGGAGGGGAACCGGGCGUGGUUGCUAGGGGGCAGCUGUCUCCGGUGCAGAAGCGCGGGGCCGGGAAAUGUGCUAAAACCUGCAAGGCUCCGUGCAGGUCGAGCUUGAGAAUUAAAAACCUUUCCCUAAGAUGAAGGCCCUGUUUUGGAACAUUAGAGGGUUCUGCGCUAGGGGGCGCAGAGACCAACUGAAGGACUUAAUGCGCGCUGAAAGAAUUGAUUUUAUCGGGCUUGUUGAGACUCUUAAACCCUCCUUUUCUCCUUCUGAACUAUCGGCGAUUGCUGGGAUUGAUAGAUUUAGGUGGAAUUUCGUGGCCUCUGUUGGUCAGUCCGGCGGCUUUCUUCUGGGCACCAAUAAUGUCACCUUUGAUUUUGUGGCUUUCGACCAUGGUAUAUACUGGGCUAGUAUGGUAGUUUCCCUACGUCCAAUAACACCCUCCUUGAACUUAUGGUAGUAUAUGGUCCGGCUGAUCAUUCCUUGUCACAAAUUUUCUUGGAUGAGAUUUUUACUAAAAUUGAUUCCUGCCAACUGCCACUCCUGAUUGGGGGUGAUUUUAAUCUGCUUCGGUAUCCUUCUGAUAAGAGUUCUGUCAAUUUCUCCUGGGUUCGGGCCAAGGCUUUUAAUGCUUUCAUCAGGGACAUGGCUAUCCGUGAGAUCCCGAGGGUUGGGGCCCGCUACACUUGGACCAACCGACAGACUUGUCCUAUUCGCUCGGUUCUUGAUAGAGUUUUUAUCUGCCCUGCUUGGGAUGGCCUUUUUCCUCGCUGCUCACUUCGGGCCCUCCCCAUCGUCGGAUCCGAUCACGCUCCUCUCAUCCUUGACGAUGGUCUCUGCCCCAAUGGCUUCCAAAGAUUUCAAUUUGACGCGUCCUGGCUUUUAGUGGAAGGGUUCCCUGAUAUGCUGGAUCAGAAGAUCUUGGGCUUUCUUACCUCCCCCCAUCGUUCAUUUGUCCCUAUGGAUGACUGGCAUUAUGUUUCUUACUCCCUACGCAAGUUCCUUAGAGGAUGGGCCAAGAAUCACUUUGCUGAGUCGAGGCGCGACAAAUCUAGGUUGAGUGCUCAAAUUAGUGCCCUCGACUCCCGUGCGGACAACGGUGGGCUCUCGGCUACUGAGUGGCAAGUUCGCUAUGGCCUUGAGAAGGAGCUUCUGGCUAUUCAUCGCCAAGAGGAAGUGUAUUGGAAGCAAAGGGGUACGAUUAAUUGGACUCUUAAGGGUGAUUCUCCCACGGCUUACUUUUUCACCAUUGCGAAUGGCAGACGGCGUAGAUGUUUGAUUAACAGCCUCAUUAUUGAUGGUGUUAGGGUCUCUGAACCGCCGGUUAUUCUCCGUCAUGUAGUUCGGUUCUUCUCUAACCUGCUUUCGGCUAAACCAGACCUCGGAUUCGCGCUAGCCCCGGGCUUCUGGGCUCCCCUUGAUAGGAUUUCUCACGCUGAUAAUGAGCUUCUGUUGAUUCCCCCUUCUGAGGAGGAAAUUUUUGAUAUUAUUCGGACGGCUAAUUCUAAUGUGGCUUCAGGCCCUGAUGGUUUCUCCAUUCCGUUCUUUCGACAAUUCUGGCCCCAACUAAAAGGUCUAAUUUCUGCUGUCAUCCAAGGGUAUUGGCUGGGAUCGGUUGACAUUUCUAGACUUAACUAUGCGGUUCUCUCCCUCAUCCCUAAGGUCAAGGGUGCGGAUAUGAUUUCUCAAUUUAGGCCGAUUGCUUUAAUCAACAACUUCGCAAAGAUGCCUGCAAAGGGCAUGGCCACUAGGCUAUCUCCCAUUGCACAUCGGACCAUUAGCCCUUUCCAGUCUACUUUCAUCAAAGGGAGGUUGAUUUUGGACGGGGUACUUUGUUUACAUGAGAUUGUUCAUGAUUUACGGGUGCGAGGGACCAAGGCUGUGGUUCUCAAACUUGACUUUGAAAAGGCCUACGACUCGGUUAGCUGGAAAUUCCUUCGGCAAGUUCUUUUGGCUAAGGGCUUUGAGGGGCCUGUUAUGCAGCGCUUGAUGCAAUUGGUUUCUGGGGGGCACACGGCUGUGGCUGUCAAUGGUCAAAUUAGCCAGUUUUCUGCUAAUGGCAGGGGCCUCAGGCAAGGGGAUCCAGCGUCCCCUUUACUCUUCAACUUUGUGGCUGAUGCUCUAUCUCGCAUUCUCUCUCGAGCUGCCUUGGCUGGUCAUAUCACUCCGGUGAGCUCUCAUCUCAUCCCUAAUGGCAUCUCUCAUCUCCAAUAUGCGGAUGAUACUAUAAUUCUGAUGGAACUUAAUGAUAAUAGUCUCACCAAUCUGAAAUUCCUUCUGCUUUGUUUCGAAGCGCUCUCAGGUCUUAAAAUCAAUUUCUCUAAGAGUGAGGUUGUAGUGACUGGGGUCUCGGACGAAGAGGCGCAGCGGGUGGCCCAUCUUCUGAACUGCUCUUUGGGAUCCUACCCUCUCAAAUAUCUAGGCCUCCCCAUUUCCCCGCUUAAACUUUUGGCUAAAGACUUCGCUCAGGUGGUUACCAAAGUUGGCAACAGAGUUCUCCCUUGUCGAGGACGAUAUAAUACGCAAGCGGGCAAGGUCGCCCUUACUAACUCCUGUCUUUCUUCGCUACCUAUGUUCUUAAUGGGAUUCUAUCUUCUCUCUAGUGGGGUUCAUAAUGGUUUUGACAAGCAUAGGGGUGCUUUCUAUUGGAACGCAGCGGACAAUAAACGUAAGUACAGGAUGGUCAGAUGGGACAUUAUAUGUCGCCCCAAGGCCAAAGGGGGUCUGGGCAUUAUUAAUACGCGAGUGAUGAAUAAUUGUCUUAUGAUCAAAUAGUGGUGGAAGAUCAUGACUCUUGAGGAACUGCCACCCUGGCUCUCUAUCCUAAAAGCUAAAUAUUUCCCCUCCUCGAGUCCUAUGUUCGCGCCAGCUGCGGGUGGGUCGCAAUUUUGGCAUCAACUGGUUAAAGUCCGGCCGAUCUUUCGGUCCCUUGUAAAAUUUGUAGUUAGGAACGGUAAGUCUACGCGGUUUUGGCUUGAUCGGUGAGUCGGGGACUCCACGCUGGCUGUUGCUUUUCCGGUUCUAUUUUCAUAUUGCGGUGAUACUGAGGUUUCUAUCUUUGAGCUCUCGGCUGGGGGUUGGGUUCUGGAUUUUCGUCGUUCUCUUUCUCCUGAAGAGUUGGAAGAUUGGCAGCGCCUUACUGCUUGCUUCCCCCUGCUCUCGGAGGAAGAGGAUGCCGUGGUGUGGCCCCUCUCCUCUUCGGGGCGUUUUUCGGUUAAAUCUGCUUACUCCAAGCUUAUCCCUGGGGGGCGCCCGGUCAAGUUUAAGCAUGUCUGGUCGGCUCGAAUUCCUCCUAAGAUCAAGAUAUUUCUCUGGCAAGCUGUCCGGAGUAAGCUUCCGGCGGCCGAUCAGAUUAAGAAAAGAAACGGGCCGGGGUCCGACAGGUGUGUGCUUUGUGGGGCACUGGAGAACACCGAGCAUAUUUUCUUUCACUGCUCCUUAGCUAAACUUAUGUGGAGUUGCAUCAGACUCUGGUUACAUGCAAAUUGGUCCCCUUCCUCCAUUGAAGACCUGAGGCAUUAUGUCAAUCUUCUUUCUGGCCAUUCUAAAAGAGUCUUCUUAGUUGGGUGGGCUGCGAUUGGCUGGUCGUUGUGGACUACUAGGAAUAAGUUCUCGAUUGAACAUAUUUUUCCGGCUAAUCCUGUCAAUUGCUUAUUUAAAGCCAAUGGUUUCUUGCAGCAGUGGGGAUUAUUGACUAAAGAAGGGGACCUCCAGGCCUUCGACGCCAUGCUAUCCAAGAUGAAAUCUACGACGUCUUGGCUUCUUCGGCUUUCUUUGAGGACGGCUUCCUGAAUGCUCUUUUGGUCUUUGGUUUAGGCUGGCUUGCGUGCCAUGUAAGGCCGCUGGCCUUGUAAUGAUACUUUAUCUUCUGCGCGUGAUACUUUGUUGGGUGCUGUUGUUGGUCAUAUACUCUGCCUGGUGGCUUUAUCUAUAAAGUCGGGCUCUCGCCUUUUCUCUAAAAAAAAAGAACAUCCUAUUUAUUGCACUUUAAAUUUACAAGGAUUGCAAUUACCGGUCGAGCCAUGCCUGUGGAUUUUUCCUUCUCAUUUUAAAAGGGGGACUAUUGAAUGAUUCUUCUGGGAUUCAAAAGAAAAUGGCACCCCUGAGUGUGUUUUCAU
RNAcentral lists this long non-coding RNA (7749 nucleotides) under Triticum aestivum (bread wheat). RNAcentral's name for it is "long non-coding RNA (TAES_LNC000791)". Lineage: Eukaryota; Viridiplantae; Streptophyta; Magnoliopsida; Poales; Poaceae. The record is from RNAcentral.